RNAcentral lists this unclassified non-coding RNA (2394 nucleotides) under Hevea brasiliensis (rubber tree). The record is from RNAcentral. Lineage: Eukaryota; Viridiplantae; Streptophyta; Magnoliopsida; Malpighiales; Euphorbiaceae.
GGGAAACUGAAUAAAAAUCGCAAUUAAAAAGAGUAUUUUGUGCAUUCUAAAACAAAUCUGGAGUGACAAUAAUGACAGGCAAGAAUUGCAAUGACUGAGGAGAGACAAGAACCGUAGGCAAAUUUUAACCCGCAUUGCAAAAUUAAAAAUUAAAAAAAAAAUAAAUUAAAAAUGUUUGCCUUAGUUUGUAAAGUAUUCUUUGGCAAUUUGCAAUACGAAAAAGUUAAUGCACAAGACCUAGAGCACAAGGUAAAAUAUCUUCAAUCAUCCUUGUCUUCAAAAGACAAACAUACUGCAAUUGCAAACACAAAAUUCAGUAAUUAAGGAUAAUCUGAAAACUAAUGACUUGCUUUUAGAAUAUCACAAUUGACAAUUUGAUACCAUAAACAUAAGAUUUAAAAAAAUAUAUAUUAUUGCCAUGCUAUUUUCUGACCCCAUAAAGAAUAGAUGUCAUGAUUCAUGCAAUCUAUCUUGCUAUUUUCUACACCCUAUUAAAAUGCUGCAAUGGGCUAAGAUAAUGGUGCAAAAACUGCAGGAUUAACACAUGAUGGAAAAUUCUUAUAUUUUCAAUUUACUGUUUUGGAGUUCUCUACAUUGUCUAAACAAUGAGAAAGAUAGCAGGAAAACUUAGAUUUGAUGCACAUAAGAUAAAGUAUUACUAGGUAGUAAAACUUAGUGAGAACCAACAUAGAUUGACACCAUGCCAAGAUUACAGCGCUCUGAUUAAUACAACUCUUCUUUUGACAAUGAAAAAUAAUUGAAUAUUCUUAAAUCAAGAGUUUCAUAAUCAAUCAUCAUUGAAAUUGUAUUAAGCCGCAAACAUCAAUGAGAAGCAGAAAACACAAAGCAUAUUGAUAAACUUGAAUAAAGAUUUCAAGCCACAGACAGACAAAACUUAAAGAGAAGAUAACCCAAUUCCAACAAAAUAGCCCCUACAUAAAAACCAAGCACAUGCAAAUCAAACUCGUAGAUUCAAAUUUAACAUCUAAUGGAAAUGACAAAAAGGGAAUAUAACAGCAAAAGUAGCAACAAAAGAGCACCAAAGUAAAUAGAAAUCACUGAUGUAGAAUAAGCAAACAGCCUGAGUUACAAUAGUUGCAAUCACAGCUAACUCAAAACCAGUCAAUAUAGAUCCACAACCCUCUAGAAAACACACGAAAAUAAAGAGAUAUAGAAAUGUGUAACAAUAAGGUUAAGCAAAAACACUUCUCAACAGACAAGGUUUUAAUUUGGGAAAGACAACAUUAGUCUUAAAGUUGUAACUCAACCCAUGAAUUAUUGACAGAGAGAAAGAAAUGGGGGGAUGCAGCCACUGGGAGAAUGUCAUCAGUUAAUAUAGCUGGAUAGAGGACCAAAUCGAUUCCAUAAAAUGAAAAACAGAGUCAAUGACAAAAUCAUACCAGACACUUGGAGAUCAAAACACAGGGUGAAAGGUAACACUAGCAAGCAAGGGCAUCAUUUGUUUGCCGAAGAAGCUAUCAUCCUGUGGCAACCACGUGAUCUCACCAUUAUAUGGAAUUGUUAAUGUUCAAAACGCCUUCCCUGUGGAGGAACCAUAAAUGCAAUAGGUAUAUGCAAGUUUCCUCAUAAAACAAAGCAGUGGUCUUGAUUUUGUCAGUACCACUUGUUGUAAGUAUUAAAAGAUACAUGUCUUUGGACUGCAUCCCUUUUCAAUAACUCUUACAUCACAGAAAAGCCACAACAAGAAGACACCCACCUAUAUGUAGCUAUUGUUCUUGAAAUUUGCAUGAGAAAUAUAAUUACUGAGUAGGUGAAGGUAAAUAUCUAUUCAAUAAUCAAUAAUUGAAACUACUUCAAGAUGAGUCCCAAGUUCAUGUGGUGCAAAGAAAUUUUGUCAGGGAAUAAAAGGAGAAACUUAAAGAGAUUGCAUCAAACAUAACUUAUUUGAAUUCUGGAUAUUUGGAUGUAUAAUCAAAUAUGUUUUUAUCUAAAAUAAUAGACCAAAUGCAUCUCUAGGUUCUUGUACUAUCAUCCAAUGUACAAUUUGACCCCUCAUGAUUUAUGGAUCUAACACAAAGGCAUACCCCUACUGUCUUGCCAACACUGUUUAUAAAUUUAAUUUAAAGAAAAUAAUAAUAAAAUUAGCUCAAUAAUUUCAUAUAAACAUUUCACUAGUAUUAUUUAAAAUUUUGAAUUUUAACAUAAUAUAAUAGAUCUUCGUUAUAUAAUCUUCCACUCUUAUCAUGGUUUACAUGCUUUUGCCCCCAUUGUGUUCUUAAAAUUUGCAUGCAAAAUGUAAUCAUGAUUAGGCGAAGGUAAUUUUAUAUUCAACCAACUGAUAAUGUAAACUGAUCCAUUAGGAGUCCUAAGUUCACGUAGUACAAACAAAGAUUUGAUAGCGAAUAAAUGGAGAAAGUUGAAGAAUUUGCUUCC